Molecule: ribosomal RNA, 518 nt
Filed under: uncultured bacterium
Lineage: Bacteria
Description: bacterial SSU rRNA
Rfam family: Bacterial small subunit ribosomal RNA
Source: RNAcentral
GAUGAACGCUGGCGGCGUGCCUAAUACAUGCAAGUCGAGCGGACGGAAUGGAGUGCUUGCACUCCUUGAAGUCAGCGGCGGACGGGUGAGUAACACGUGGGUAACCUACCUAUAAGACUGGGAUAACUUCGGGAAACCGGAGCUAAUACCGGAUAAUAUGUAUCGCCUCAUGGCGAAACAGUGAAAGACGGUUCUGCUGUCACUUAUAGAUGGACCCGCGGCGCAUUAGCUAGUUGGUGAGGUAACGGCUCACCAAGGCGACGAUGCGUAGCCGACCUGAGAGGGUGAUCGGCCACACUGGGACUGAGACACGGCCCAGACUCCUACGGGAGGCAGCAGUAGGGAAUCUUCCGCAAUGGACGAAAGUCUGACGGAGCAACGCCGCGUGAGUGAAGAAGGUUUUCGGAUCGUAAAACUCUGUUGUAAGGGAAGAACAAGUACGUUAGUAACUGAACGUACCUUGACGGUACCUUACCAGAAAGCCACGGCUAACUACGUGCCAGCAGCCGCCGUAACAC